GACGAACGCUGGCGGCGUGCUUAACACAUGCAAGUCAAACGAAGAGCGAUGGAAGCUUGCUUCUAUCAAUCUUAGUGGCGAACGGGUGAGUAACGCGUAAUCAACCUGCCCUUCAGAGGGGGACAACAGUUGGAAACGACUGCUAAUACCGCAUACGAUCUAACCUCGGCAUCGAGGAAAGAUGAAAGGUGGCCUCUAUGUAUAAGCUAUCACUGAAGGAGGGGAUUGCGUCUGAUUAGCUAGUUGGAGGGGUAACGGCCCACCAAGGCGAUGAUCAGUAGCCGGUCUGAGAGGAUGAACGGCCACAUUGGGACUGAGACACGGCCCAGACUCCUACGGGAGGCAGCAGUGGGGAAUCUUCCGCAAUGGACGAAAGUCUGACGGAGCAACGCCGCGUGAGUGAUGACGGCCUUCGGGUUGUAAAGCUCUGUUAAUCGGGACGAAAGGCCUUCUUGCGAAUAGUGAGAAGGAUUGACGGUACCGGAAGAGAAAGCCACGGCUAACUACGUG
This 510-nucleotide ribosomal RNA is filed under the name uncultured bacterium. RNAcentral describes it as "partial 16S ribosomal RNA". It matches the Rfam family "Bacterial small subunit ribosomal RNA", at positions 28 to 507 of the family's 1533-position model. The record is from RNAcentral.